GAAUUAUCAGAGCAGGAAUUUUAAACAACUACGAUUAAAAUACUAAGGGCCCUCACGGAUAAAGCAGACAACCUGCAGGAAGAGAGAGAUGGGCAAUGUAAGCAGAGAGAUGGAAAUUCUAAGAAAGAACCAAAAAGAAAUGCUAGAGAUUACAGAAGAAAAAAAACACUUUAAGAGAAAUGCAGAAUGCUUUUGAUAGGCCUAUACUAUAUAGGGGGGUUCCCAGUGGCUGAGUGGUAAAGAAUUCACUGCAAUGCAGAAGACUUGGGUUUGAUCCCUGGGUUGGGAAGAUCCCCUGGAGAAGGAAAUGGCAACCCACUCCAGUAUUCUUGCCUGGGAAAUCCUGUGGACGCAGGAGCCUGGUGGGGUACAGUCCAUGGGGUUGCAAGACUUGGACACAACUUAGCAACAGAAACAAACACACAGUAUAGAUUCGAUACAAUUCAGGAAAGAAUCUCUGAGCUUUGGGAUAUCUCAAUAGAAACCUCCAAAACUGAAAAGAAAAAAAAACUUAAAAAAGAAAAUAAAAUCCAAGAACUGUAGAAAGCCAAAAGUAAUAAUGUACGCAGAAUAGGAAUAUCAGAACAAGAAGAGAGAAAGGAACAGAAAAAUAUUUGAAGUAAUAAUGACAGAAAUUCCCCAAAAUUAAUUUUAGGCACCUAAUCAAUCCUCUAAGGAGAAGUGGAUGACAGAAGAUGAGAUGGUUGGGUGGCAUCACCACUCGGUGGACAUGAAUUUGAGCAAGCUCUGGGAGUUGGUGAUGGACAGGGAAGCCUGGUGUUACUGCAGUCCAUGGGGUCACAAAGAGUCAGACACGACUGACCGACUGAACUGAACUGAAUUAACUAAUGACUCAUUCAGGAAGUUCAGAGAACACCAAGCAGGAUAAAUGACAAAAAGUUUGACACCAAGUCAUAUCAUUUUCAAAAAUACAAAAAAAAAAAAGAAAAGAAAAAAAUUCUGAAAGAAGCCAGAGGGAGAAAACACUGUACUUACAGAAAAGCAAAGGUUAAGAAUUACAGGACUUCCCCAGUGGUACAGUGGAUAGGAAUCUGCCUGCCAAUGCAGGGGACACGGAUUCAAUCUCUGGUCUGGGAAGAUUCCACAUGCUGUGGAACAACUAAGCCCCGGCACCAAAAUUACUGAGCCCGAGCUCCAGAGACCUCAAGCCACAACUAUAAAGCAUAUGUGCCCCAACUACUGAAGACCACGUGUCUAAAGCCUGUGCUCUGAAACCACAGAAGCCACC
Molecule: long non-coding RNA, 1249 nt
Organism: Bos taurus (domestic cattle)
Lineage: Eukaryota; Metazoa; Chordata; Mammalia; Artiodactyla; Bovidae
Source: Ensembl